ACCUACGGCCAAGUCCACCGGAAUGCGCCCGAUCUUAUGAGAACUUUAAAGUUGAACGGGGGUGAGCCUGGUUAGUGCUUGGAUGGGCGACCACCUUGCAUUAUAACAGGCGUUGUAGGAA
RNAcentral lists this ribosomal RNA (121 nucleotides) under Petromyzon marinus (sea lamprey). The record is from RNAcentral. Lineage: Eukaryota; Metazoa; Chordata; Hyperoartia; Petromyzontiformes; Petromyzontidae.